UGGGGAAUUUUGGACAAUGGAGGAAACUCUGAUCCAGCAAUUCUGUGUGUGUGAAGAAGGUUUUAGGACUGUAAAACACUUUUAGUAGGGAAGAAAAACAUGACGGUACCUACAGAAGAAGCAACGGCUAAAUACGUGCAAGCAGCCGCGGUAAUACGUAUGUUGCGAGCGUUAUCCGGAAUUAUUGGGCUUAAAGGGCAUCUAGGCGGUAAGACAAGUUGAAGGUGAAAACCUGUGGCUCAACCAUAGGCUUGCCUACAAAACUGUUGAACUAGAGUACUGGAAAGGUGGGUGGAACUACACGAGUAGAGGUGAAAUUCGUAGAUAUGUGUAGGAAUACCGAUGAUGAAGAUAGCUCACUGGGCAGAAACUGACGCUGAAGUGCGAAAGCUAGGGGAGCAAACAGG
RNAcentral lists this ribosomal RNA (407 nucleotides) under Verrucomicrobiota bacterium. RNAcentral's name for it is "Verrucomicrobia bacterium partial 16S ribosomal RNA". It matches the Rfam family "Bacterial small subunit ribosomal RNA", at positions 355 to 776 of the family's 1533-position model. The record is from RNAcentral. Lineage: Bacteria; Pseudomonadati; Verrucomicrobiota.